Molecule: ribosomal RNA, 550 nt
Filed under: Trachysalambria aspera
Lineage: Eukaryota; Metazoa; Arthropoda; Malacostraca; Decapoda; Penaeidae
Description: partial 12S ribosomal RNA
Rfam family: Eukaryotic small subunit ribosomal RNA (bases 188-550)
Source: RNAcentral
GAUGUUUGGUUAAAAAUACUUAAGCGUUGUAUUUAUAUAAGUGAAUUGUUUUGUGUUAAUAAAGGGUGAAAUUGAUCUUUUACUGAAUAAAUAAUUUUGUUUAAUAAAAUGGAGCUGAGGUUGUUAAGAUCAAGGUAUGGACCAGGAUUAGAGACCCUGUUACACUUGAUUUUAAGUUAAAAUACCUGGGUAGUAAACAGUUAUAGUCUUGAAACUUAAAGGAUUUGGCGGUAAUUUAGUCUAGUUAGAGGAACCUGUCCUGUAAUCGAUAGUCCACGAAAAAUCUUACUUUAUUUUGAAUAAUUCAGCUUAUAUACCGUCAUUGUUAGAUAACUUUAAGAGAAGCAAAAGUUGUUGUAAUAAUUUUUAAUUAGUAUAUUAGAUCAAGGUGUAGCUUAUGGUAAAGUAGAGAUGGGUUACAAUAAAACUGGUUUAAUAGAACGGAUUUAGAAAUGGAAGUAUUUCAAUGAAGGAGGAUUUAAAUGUAAAAGUAUUUUAAUAUGAUACUUUGAUUAUAGCUCUAAGUUAUGUACACAUCGCCCGUCGCUCU